UUAAGCGACUAAGCGUACACGGUGGAUGCCCUGGCAGUCAGAGGCGAUGAAGGACGUGCUAAUCUGCGAUAAGCGUCGGUGAGGUGAUAUGAACCGCUAUAACCGGCGAUUUCCGAAUGGGGAAACCCAGUGUGUUUCGACACACUAUCAUUAACUGAAUCCAUAGGUUAAUGAGGCGAACCGGGGGAACUGAAACAUCUAAGUACCCCGAGGAAAAGAAAUCAACCGAGAUUCCCCCAGUAGCGGCGAGCGAACGGGGAGGAGCCCAGAGCCUGAAUCAGUGUGUGUGUUAGUGGAAGCGUCUGGAAAGGCGCGCGAUACAGGGUGACAGCCCCGUACACAAAAAUGCACAUGCUGUGAGCUCGAUGAGUAGGGCGGGACACGUGGUAUCCUGUCUGAAUAUGGGGGGACCAUCCUCCAAGGCUAAAUACUCCUGACUGACCGAUAGUGAACCAGUACCGUGAGGGAAAGGCGAAAAGAACCCCGGCGAGGGGAGUGAAAAAGAACCUGAAACCGUGUACGUACAAGCAGUGGGAGCCUCUUUAUGGGGUGACUGCGUACCUUUUGUAUAAUGGGUCAGCGACUUAUAUUCUGUAGCAAGGUUAACCGAAUAGGGGAGCCGAAGGGAAACCGAGUCUUAACUGGGCGUUAAGUUGCAGGGUAUAGACCCGAAACCCGGUGAUCUAGCCAUGGGCAGGUUGAAGGUUGGGUAACACUAACUGGAGGACCGAACCGACUAAUGUUGAAAAAUUAGCGGAUGACUUGUGGCUGGGGGUGAAAGGCCAAUCAAACCGGGAGAUAGCUGGUUCUCCCCGAAAGCUAUUUAGGUAGCGCCUCGUGAAUUCAUCUCCGGGGGUAGAGCACUGUUUCGGCAAGGGGGUCAUCCCGACUUACCAACCCGAUGCAAACUGCGAAUACCGGAGAAUGUUAUCACGGGAGACACACGGCGGGUGCUAACGUCCGUCGUGAAGAGGGAAACAACCCAGACCGCCAGCUAAGGUCCCAAAGUCAUGGUUAAGUGGGAAACGAUGUGGGAAGGCCCAGACAGCCAGGAUGUUGGCUUAGAAGCAGCCAUCAUUUAAAGAAAGCGUAAUAGCUCACUGGUCGAGUCGGCCUGCGCGGAAGAUGUAACGGGGCUAAACCAUGCACCGAAGCUGCGGCAGCGACGCUUAUGCGUUGUUGGGUAGGGGAGCGUUCUGUAAGCCUGUGAAGGUGUGCUGUGAGGCAUGCUGGAGGUAUCAGAAGUGCGAAUGCUGACAUAAGUAACGAUAAAGCGGGUGAAAAGCCCGCUCGCCGGAAGACCAAGGGUUCCUGUCCAACGUUAAUCGGGGCAGGGUGAGUCGACCCCUAAGGCGAGGCCGAAAGGCGUAGUCGAUGGGAAACAGGUUAAUAUUCCUGUACUUGGUGUUACUGCGAAGGGGGGACGGAGAAGGCUAUGUUGGCCGGGCGACGGUUGUCCCGGUUUAAGCGUGUAGGCUGGUUUUCCAGGCAAAUCCGGAAAACCAAGGCUGAGGCGUGAUGACGAGGCACUACGGUGCUGAAGCGACAAAUGCCCUGCUUCCAGGAAAAGCCUCUAAGCAUCAGGUAACAUCAAAUCGUACCCCAAACCGACACAGGUGGUCAGGUAGAGAAUACCAAGGCGCUUGAGAGAACUCGGGUGAAGGAACUAGGCAAAAUGGUGCCGUAACUUCGGGAGAAGGCACGCUGAUAUGUAGGUGAAGCGACUUGCUCGUGGAGCUGAAAUCAGUCGAAGAUACCAGCUGGCUGCAACUGUUUAUUAAAAACACAGCACUGUGCAAACACGAAAGUGGACGUAUACGGUGUGACGCCUGCCCGGUGCCGGAAGGUUAAUUGAUGGGGUUAGCGGCAACGCGAAGCUCUUGAUCGAAGCCCCGGUAAACGGCGGCCGUAACUAUAACGGUCCUAAGGUAGCGAAAUUCCUUGUCGGGUAAGUUCCGACCUGCACGAAUGGCGUAAUGAUGGCCAGGCUGUCUCCACCCGAGACUCAGUGAAAUUGAACUCGCUGUGAAGAUGCAGUGUACCCGCGGCAAGACGGAAAGACCCCGUGAACCUUUACUAUAGCUUGACACUGAACAUUGAGCCUUGAUGUGUAGGAUAGGUGGGAGGCUUUGAAGUGUGGACGCCAGUCUGCAUGGAGCCGACCUUGAAAUACCACCCUUUAAUGUUUGAUGUUCUAACGUUGGCCCGUAAUCCGGGUUGCGGACAGUGUCUGGUGGGUAGUUUGACUGGGGCGGUCUCCUCCUAAAGAGUAACGGAGGAGCACGAAGGUUGGCUAAUCCUGGUCGGACAUCAGGAGGUUAGUGCAAUGGCAUAAGCCAGCUUGACUGCGAGCGUGACGGCGCGAGCAGGUGCGAAAGCAGGUCAUAGUGAUCCGGUGGUUCUGAAUGGAAGGGCCAUCGCUCAACGGAUAAAAGGUACUCCGGGGAUAACAGGCUGAUACCGCCCAAGAGUUCAUAUCGACGGCGGUGUUUGGCACCUCGAUGUCGGCUCAUCACAUCCUGGGGCUGAAGUAGGUCCCAAGGGUAUGGCUGUUCGCCAUUUAAAGUGGUACGCGAGCUGGGUUUAGAACGUCGUGAGACAGUUCGGUCCCUAUCUGCCGUGGGCGCUGGAGAACUGAGGGGGGCUGCUCCUAGUACGAGAGGACCGGAGUGGACGCAUCACUGGUGUUCGGGUUGUCAUGCCAAUGGCACUGCCCGGUAGCUAAAUGCGGAAGAGAUAAGUGCUGAAAGCAUCUAAGCACGAAACUUGCCCCGAGAUGAGUUCUCCCUGACUCCUUGAGGGUCCUGAAGGAACGUUGAAGACGACGACGUUGAUAGGCCGGGUGUGUAAGCGCAGCGAUGCGUUGAGCUAACCGGUACUAAUGAACCGUGAGGCUUAACCUU
RNAcentral lists this ribosomal RNA (2903 nucleotides) under Escherichia coli HVH 24 (4-5985145). Its description in RNAcentral is "bacterial LSU rRNA". It matches the Rfam family "Bacterial large subunit ribosomal RNA". Lineage: Bacteria; Pseudomonadati; Pseudomonadota; Gammaproteobacteria; Enterobacterales; Enterobacteriaceae. The record is from RNAcentral.